GACGAACGCUGGCGGCGCGCUUAACACAUGCAAGUCGAACGGAAAGGCCUGCUUUCCCUUGUGGAUUGCGGGUACUCGAGUGGCGAACGGGUGAGUAACACGUGAGUGAUCUGCCCCCAACUUGGGUAUAAGCCUGGGAAACUGGGUCUAAUUCCCGAUAGGACUGCAGGGUGGUGCCUGUGGUGGAAAACGAUUUUCUAGUGGUUGGGGAUGAGCUCGCGGCCUAUCAGCUUGUUGGUGGGGUAAUGGCCUACCAAGGCGGCGACGGGUAGCCGGCCGGGGAGGGUGGACGGCCACAUUGGGACUGGGAUACGGCCCAGACUCCUACGGGAGGCAGCAGUGGGGAAUAUUGCACAAUGGGCGGAAGCCUGAUGCAGCGACGCCGCGUGGGGGAUGACGGCCUUCGGGUUGUAAACUCCUUUCGACCGCGAGGAAGCCACCUGGUUGGAAGGGUGGUGACGGUAGUGGUAGAAGAAGCACCGGCUAACUACGUG
This 494-nucleotide ribosomal RNA is filed under the name uncultured bacterium. Its description in RNAcentral is "partial 16S ribosomal RNA". It matches the Rfam family "Bacterial small subunit ribosomal RNA", at positions 28 to 507 of the family's 1533-position model. The record is from RNAcentral.